Carassius auratus (goldfish) is the source of this 493-nucleotide long non-coding RNA. RefSeq lists it as uncharacterized. NCBI's taxonomy places the organism in Eukaryota, Metazoa, Chordata, Actinopteri, Cypriniformes, Cyprinidae. The transcript has 3 exons. The record is from RefSeq and is a predicted model, not a curated record.
UGUGACGCCUGCGCGGUCUCAAUCUGAAGCUGUUUUCUUGGCGCGGUUCAGUGUCUUGUGGAUGCCGCAGGUGACAUCCGCCCAUUCAGCGCACAGAACAGACGCGAGUCCGUGACCCAUCACACCUCCUCACCAGCCAAAAAAGGAGUACGUGUUCAGUGAGAGGAACGUACACCAAGCGCAGUGGGAAAAAAGCGAGUUGGCCGUUCACAGUGUUUGAGACUGCCAGUCCCCGGCUCACCAGCUCAGGAAACCUGCGAUCCAGCAGAGAGCAGUUGGCAGACACAACAGAACAGGCUGCACUGAGACGGAGGGGGUGAUGGAGCGAGUGAGGGUGUGAGGAGAACAACUUACAGAAUGAGAUGAGAAGAACUCGCCUUAACCAGAUAUGAGCCGGGCUCCACUGAGCAUGCCCAAUAGUGUCGGCCCUGCGUUAUGGCCACAUCACCCACAAGCAGAUCAGCUGUCAGGUGACAGGAAGUGAGGGCACGAU